RNAcentral lists this ribosomal RNA (253 nucleotides) under uncultured bacterium. RNAcentral's name for it is "partial 16S ribosomal RNA". It matches the Rfam family "Bacterial small subunit ribosomal RNA", at positions 524 to 776 of the family's 1533-position model. The record is from RNAcentral.
UACGUAGGCAGCAAGCGUUGUUCGGAGUUACUGGGCGUAAAGAGUGCGUAGGCGGUUCUCUAAGUUUGGUGUGAAAUCUCCCGGCUCAACUGGGAGGGUGCGCCGAAGACUGGAAAGCUUGAGUGUGGGAGAGGUAAGCGGAAUUCCUGGUGUAGCGGUGAAAUGCGUAGAUAUCAGGAGGAACACCGGUGGUGUAGACGGCUUACUGGACCACUACUGACGCUGAGGCACGAAAGCGUGGGGAGCAAACAGG